This 180-nucleotide non-coding RNA is filed under the name Denitrovibrio sp. RNAcentral's name for it is "6S RNA". It matches the Rfam family "6S / SsrS RNA". From Rfam's summary of the family: E. coli 6S RNA was the first non coding RNA to be sequenced, but its function was unknown until recently. The record is from RNAcentral. Lineage: Bacteria; Pseudomonadati; Deferribacterota; Deferribacteres; Deferribacterales; Geovibrionaceae.
UAACCCCUGCGGCAUUCGUGACAAUUUGGGAAAAUUGGAGCCAACACUCAAAGACCGGGGGAUGAUACUGGAUGUGGUGUGCAUGCCUGCCUCGAGUAGGAAGCCUAAAGCAGCCGUGAUUCCUCCGCCCUUACACAAGGGCUACAAUUGGACCGAGUUAACGGUGCUUGCGGGGGUUUU